This is a long non-coding RNA of Clupea harengus (Atlantic herring), 748 nucleotides long. NCBI's taxonomy places the organism in Eukaryota, Metazoa, Chordata, Actinopteri, Clupeiformes, Clupeidae. The record is from Ensembl.
GCAUGUACAUCAUAUCUCCAACAUCAAACUCCAGGGGGUAGGAGUUUGCGUCCUUUUGCUGUGUAAAUGCUUGUGACUGGAAGAACUCAAACUGGUAGGUGAAUGUGCCGAAGCCCUUCUCUGUGAAGGUAACUGGGGGCCUGUGAGCGAUGUAACUUAGGACCACGUCACCCCGCUUGGAAUACUUGCAGAAGAACUCGAUGUCAACCUCGGCGUCCCUUGUUAUAAUGGCACGUGGGUCAUUGUUAGACAAAAUCAUAUUCCUGAAGAUGAGAUAUUUGCCAUCAUCCUUGUAAAAGACAGAGAGAACAAAGAAACAAACAUGUCUAUGACAUUGCAUCAAAUGUUGCCAGCAAAAAGUGUACAUACUUGCUAAAGUAUGAGUAUGUAAAUGUCAGUGAAUCUUUAAGCAAGCAAUUAUGUACCAGUCAGUGAGUGUGUGAGAAUGCAACUGUGUUAAAGUCAGCGAGUGUGUGAGUAUUCAAGUUUGUAAAGGUCAGUGAGUGUGUGAGUAUUGAAGUUUGUAAAAGUUAGUGAGUGUGUGAGUAUUGAAGUUUGUAAAGAUCUUGAGUGUGUGAGUAUUCAAGUUUGUAAAAGUUAGUGAGUGUGUGAGUAUUCAAGUUUGUAAAAGUUAGUAAAUGUGUGAGUAUUCAAGUUUGUAAAAGUUAGUGAGUGUGUGAGUAUGCACGUUUGUAAAAGUCAGUGAGUAUGUGAGUAUGUAUUUGUCACUCACCUCCAUCUGAGUGCC